RNAcentral lists this ribosomal RNA (194 nucleotides) under uncultured bacterium. Its description in RNAcentral is "partial 16S ribosomal RNA". It matches the Rfam family "Bacterial small subunit ribosomal RNA", at positions 338 to 524 of the family's 1533-position model. The record is from RNAcentral.
UCUACGGGAGGCAGCAGUAGGGAAUCUUCCACAAUGGACGAAAGUCUGAUGGAGCAGCGCCGCGUGAGUGGAGAAGGAUUUCGGUUCGUAAAACUCUGUUGCAAGGGAAGAACAAGUAGCGUAGUAACUGGCGCUACUUUGACGGUACCUUGUUAGAAAGCCACGGCUAACUACGUGCCAGCAGCCGCGGUAAU